UGAGCAAUCUGCCCUUCUCAUCGGAAUAAGCGUUGGAAACGACGUCUAAUGCCGAAUACGACCUCCUUUCGCAUGAUCGGAGGUGGAAAGUUCCGGCGGUGGAGGAUGAGCUCGCGGCCUAUCAGCUUGUUGGUGAGGUAAUGGCUCACCAAGGCGACGACGGGUAGCCGGCCUGAGAGGGUGACCGGCCACACGUGGGACUGAGACACGGCCCAGACUCCGUACGGGAGCAG
Molecule: ribosomal RNA, 233 nt
Filed under: uncultured bacterium
Lineage: Bacteria
Description: partial 16S ribosomal RNA
Rfam family: Bacterial small subunit ribosomal RNA
Source: RNAcentral